UUCCCUCUCUGUUUUCAUCUCAGAAGGAAAGGGUCAGAGCAUUUCUUAGGUGAAACAAGGAGAGAGAAACCUAGAGAGAGAAAACUUCAGUAACUCAAGACCACCGAUGAUGGUGCUUCGAAUUCUUCGAGUUUGAGGUUGUGGAAGACACUUUUCGGAUCGUCAUAUUCAUCAGGAGUGGUGAUUUCUCCCUUUUGAUUUUGACCUGAGAAAGGAAAAAAGAGGAGAAAACUGCUGCUGAAGAUACUUUGAAUGCUUACAAAGCUGCUCAGGUCUUGGUGAUGCACACAUCACGGCUCAAUAUGUAGGUCUUGGUGCGGUUGCUCGGGAUGAACUUGGGCAGCUGCUGUGGGCUGCUGUUCGAAGAGUGGCUGCGUAAUCAGAGGUGGAGGCAGCUGAAGCGGUGUGUUUUGGAAUGCAAAUUGCACAUAUGUUGGGCAUCUUGAACAUCUGGAUUGCUAAGAACAAACUUGUUCUUCAUCAUAUUCUUCUGGGUUUUAGCUUUUUCUGAAGAAUUUCUCACUGGAAAGGGAAUAAAAGGAAGGAUGUGGCUCCAAACCAUGCUGCUUCUUCAGGGAAAGGUCCUCCUAUCCUUGCUGUGGUUGUUAGAAAAUUAGUUCUGACUAGCAGAGGAGUCAAGAACCCUCGCGUUACCAUCUUGAAACUGCUGCUCUUCGGUAACUUUUCAUGUAAAAAAGACGACUCCAAUAAUUGUUUAUUAAAAGAUUUAAUGAUUUCAGAAUUGAGCUAUUGUUUUAAAUUAUCUUCAAUGAUUACACCUUUAUAACACACUCUUGAUCCAAAAUGGACAGCCAUGUAUUACUUUAUUAUAUGAAGUAAAUUAUAAGCAGAGUGCUCAACGAUCCAUUUAAUUUCUUCUGUAGUUUAUGUAAAUUGUGAACUUCAAAUCCUGUAUUAUACUACCUGUAUUAUACUAUUAUUAGACUUUAUGCUUUUGAUUAGGGAUCAGUAAAUGUAUGUUAAUAGAUAAAGCAGUGAGGUAUGCUUGCAAAAACAAGAUAACUAUCUGAAGUUAUAUGGUGCCACUACAAGUGUGAUAUCAAGAAUUCCUUAUUUUCAACUGAAAUAUUUGGUUUUGAUUAAUUGGAGUUCUGGUUUGACUCUUUCAGGUUAAUACUCUUAAGGUAACAACUGCAGUUCAUUGCAUCAAGCAUAUAGCGAUGACAAUUAUGACUUCAAAUGCAACAAAUUGCUUUUCUUUAUCUUGUCGUUUAGGCAAAACAAAAUUCCAUUGUAGAAGCAAAGCAACAAGAUUCAACAAAAACUAAGGGGAGCUCAGAAACACAGUAGCAAAAGAAAACAAGUCAUUAAGAGAGCACUAAGAAGAGUGGUGGUUUGGGACUGAUUUUCUAAGCAGCAGAUCUGGACAAAUUAAUUAAUACAAGGGUACCUUUUGUAUUGGUAAAGCAAUAGAACAGUAAAUGUUAUGUGAACUUUUGUAUAAAGCAUUUGAAUUCAAAGUUGUAACCUCAAGCUAACUAUAUUUAUUUUAUAAUUGUAACCGUCG
This is a long non-coding RNA of Chenopodium quinoa (quinoa), 1528 nucleotides long. RefSeq lists it as uncharacterized. The transcript is spliced from 7 exons. Lineage: Eukaryota; Viridiplantae; Streptophyta; Magnoliopsida; Caryophyllales; Amaranthaceae. The record is from RefSeq and is a predicted model, not a curated record.